RNAcentral lists this ribosomal RNA (253 nucleotides) under uncultured bacterium. Its description in RNAcentral is "partial 16S ribosomal RNA". It matches the Rfam family "Bacterial small subunit ribosomal RNA", at positions 524 to 776 of the family's 1533-position model. The record is from RNAcentral.
UACAGAGGGGGCAAGCGUUGUUCGGAAUUACUGGGCGUAAAGGGCGCGUAGGCGGCCUGCUAAGUCGAACGUGAAAUCCCCGGGCCCAACCCGGGAACUGCGUCCGAUACUGACAGGCUUGAAUCCGGGAGAGGGAUGUGGAAUUCCAGGUGUAGCGGUGAAAUGCGUAGAUAUCUGGAGGAACACCGGUGGCGAAGGCGGCAUCCUGGACCGGUAUUGACGCUGAUGCGCGAAAGCCAGGGGAGCAAACGGG